ACAGAGAGAGACAGUCUCAUUCUGCCACCCAGGCUGGAGUGCAGCAGCACAAUCUUGUGUCAUUGCUAACUCUACCUCCCAGGUUCAAGUGAUUUUAAUGCCCCAGCCUCCUGUGUAGCUGGGAUUACAGGUGUGCACCACCAUGCAUCCAUCCAUCUUUCUUUCUUUCUUUCUUUCUUUCUUUCUUUCUUUCUUUCUUUCUUUCUUUCUUUCUUUCUUUCUUUCUUCUUUCUUUCCUUUUCUUCUCUUUCUUUCUUCUUUCUUUCUUCUUUCUUUCUUUCUUUUUCUUUCUUCUUUCUUCUUUUUUUCUUUCUUCUUUCUUUCUUUCUUUUUUUGUAUUUUAGUAGAGAUUGAGUUUUGCCAUGUUUUCCAGGCUGAUCUCAAACUUCUGAUUACAAAAAAUCCACCUGCCUCAGCCUCCCAAAGCAUUGGAAUUACAGGCAUGAGCCAUCACAGCUGUCUACAAUAUACUUUUACAUUUAUGAUUUAGGUGAUGUGUUCUUCUCUUUCUGUCAGGUGCGGGAUGGUUAAAUAUCACUGGACCUAGCACCUAGGGAAUGUGACUCUUGUCUUUUGCAUCAGCCCCACUCGUUUUGAGAACUGUAACAUAUCACUGGGCCAAACACCUAGAAGAUGGGAAGUGUCUGCCUAUGCCCUGCAAACAGGGCUUUAGCCCUACCACUCUCAAGAGCCUCGUGACAUAUCUCUGCAUUCAUCAUCUAGGAGAUGUGACUCCUCCCUGCUGCCUGCGCUCUGCCUACAGGGAAGACCAUAACAACAUUUGGCCCAGCAACACGGUGAUGUGUUUUUUCCCAGGGCCUUGCUCACAGGGAGCAUUGUGACAUAUCACUGGAACCAGCAUCCAGGGCUGUGACUCUGUGUCCUGCUGUUAGAACAGGAUUGUAACAUAUCACUGACCAAGCACCCAGGUGAUGUGACUCUUCUGCCUGGUGCCUGCCUUCAGGGAAAAUUGUGACAUAUGCCUGGCCUAGCACCAAAGUGAUGUGGCUCUCCUGCUACCUCUAUGCACAGAUGGGUUGGUGAUGCUCAGACAAAUAUUCAGCACACCUGUGAGUCUGCGACUCCAGUAAUCAUCCACAGUCUGCAGGAGAAAUUGAGGCUCUCACCAACAAAUCAAGUGCACAAUUGAGAUUGCGACUCUUGUACUCAGACCCAACAUACAGAAUGUGUUGACUCUCAAUUUUAAAACCAGAACAUGUGUGAGAUUAUUAAUCUGAUCUCUAAACCAUCCUGCAAGUGUGAUUGUGACACAAGUCUCUGUUCAGUACUUGAGUGAUUUGACUCCUUUGCCUGGGCCCAGUCCAAAGAUGUAAUUGUGACAUAUCACUGAAACCAGCAUAUAGGAGAUGUGUCUCCAUACUCCUGCCUUGGUGCUGCCCACAGUGGGCACUGUGACAUAUCACUGGGCCUUGUAUCCAAGUGAUGUAAGUCUCUUCUUUCUUGAUACUGACCACAGGAGACACUAUGACAUAUCCCUGGGCCUCAAGCUCAGCUUAUGUCAUUCUCCUAUUUGUUCUCUGUCCACAUGGGCCAUUGUGACAUACUGCUGAGUUUGGCAUCCAUGUGAUAUAACACUUCAGCCUCAGCUUUGCUCACUUGGGGCAUUGUGAUGUAUCUCUGCACCCAUCACUUAGAUGAUUCAACUCUUUUCUUCUGUCUCAUCUGUGCUUAAAACGGGCAAUUGUUACCUAUUGCUGGGUCCAGCAUGUAGCUGAUGUGUCUCUUCUCAUCUUCCUAAGGACUGCCUGCAGGGGAUAUGGUGACAUUUUACUUUGCCCAGCACCAAGAUGACUUGAAUCUGCUGCCUUUGUUCUACUUUCAGAAGACAUUGUGACAUAUCGCUGGGCCUAGCACCAAGGUGAUGUGAAUCUUCUGCCUGGACCUGCUCACAGAGGGAAUUGUUACAUAUUUUUGACUUCAUCAACUAUUUGAUGUGACUCUCCUCUCUAACCUGGGCCUUGCCCAUAAAAAACAUUGUGGCUUAUCUCUGGGCCCAAAACCUAGGUGAUGUGACUGUCUUCUUAGGGUCAUGCCCACAGUAGAGAGAUGCCUUAUUGCUAAACCCAGCACACAGGUGAGGUGAUUCUUCUGUCUGGUCCCUGCCCACAGGGGUCAUGAUGACAUCUCUCUAAGCCCAUCACCUAGAUUAUGUGAGUUCUCUUUUUCUUCUGUUAGCUAUAUAGAAGAUUGUGACAUAUUGCUUGGCCCAGACCUCAUGUGAUGUGAAUCUCCUCUCAUGCCUUGGUCCUGUUUUUUUUUGGCCGUUGUUGUUUUGUUUUGUUUUUUGAGAUGGAGUCUUGCUCUGUUGCCUAAGCUGGAGUGCAGUGGCAUAAUCUAGGCUCACUGCAACCUCUGCCUCCUGGGUUCAAGUUAUUCUCCUGCCUCAGCCCCUGAAUAGCUAGGAUUAAAGGUGAGUGCCACCACACUCAGCUAAUUUUUGUAUUUUUAGUAGAGAUGGGGUUUCACCAUGUUGAUUAGGCUGGUAUUGAACUCCUGACUUCGUGAUCAACUCGCCUCUGCCUCCCAAACUUUUGGGAUUACAGGCAUGAGCCACCAUGCCCAGUCAAGAUGAUGAUACAUUUCUAAACCCAGGUUAUAGGCAGGUGAGGGUUCUUCUACCUAUACACACGUUUAAAGGGAUGUUGAAUCUCACACGUGGUCUCAGGGCCACAGGUACAAGCAUGGGUCUUCACCAGCAUGAAUAUCUCAGAGCAUACUGCGACUCUCCAGUGUAAUGUAUAAAGCUCUCAGGUGGGACAGUGUCCUAACAGGAUCCAGAACACAGAAAAGAUGUUGAUGCUCCUAUGCACACCCAGGUCACAGUAAAAUAUGUCAUUUUCCCACAUAAUCAUAGCCCAAUGUUGAGAUUCUGCAUCUCACACCUGAAAGAAGUUGAAAGAUGGAAAAUUGACUCUCUUAUAUAGAUCUGGUCUACAGGUAGGUUGGUGACAUUCAGAUCAAAAUUAAGUACACUUGUGAGGCUAUAACUCUUCUAAGAAGACACAGCUCACAGGAGCAACUGAUGCUCCUAUGAACAAAUCCAGUCCGUGAUUGAGAUUCUAACUCAUGUACUUAUUGUCAGGCCUCUGAGCCCAAGCUAAGCCAUCAUAUCCCCUGUGACCUGCACGUAUACAUCCAGAUGGCCUGAAGCAACCGAAUAUCCACAAAGGAAGUGAAAAUAGCCGUAACUGAUGACAUUCCACCAUUGUGAUUUGUUCCUGCCCCACCCUAACUGAUACGAUAUAUUCUCCCUCUGCCCUGAAGAAGGUACUUUGUAAUAGUCUCCCCCCACCUUAAAAAGGUACUUUGUAAUAUUCUCCCCACCCGUGAGAAUGUACUUUGUACACCUAUCCCAAACCUAUAAGAACUAAUGAUAAUCCCACCACGCUUUGCUGACUCCUUUUUUGGACUCAGCCCACCUGCACCCAGGUGAAAUAAACAGCCUUGUUGCUCACACAAAGCCUGUUUGGUGGACUCUCUUCACAGGGAUGUGCAUGACACUUAGACCCAACAUACAGCAGGUGUUGACUCUAAUGACUAGAACCAGGACUUAUGCUAGAUUGUUAAUCUCAUCCCUGAAAUUUUCUGCAGAUGUCAUUGGGACAUACACCUGUGCCCAACAGCUGAGUGAUUUGUCUCUCUUGCUUGGUCACAGCUCACAGGGGCCAUUGUAAAAUACUGCUGAUCCUGUUAUCCAGGUGAUGUGAGUCCCCUCACCUGCUUUGGCACUGCCCACAGGGAACAUUAUGACAUAUGACUGGGACCUGCACCCAGGUUAUGUGACUUUUAUGUUUGUGCUCUGCCCACAUAAGACACUGUAACGUAUUGCCAGUCCAACAUCCAGAUGAUUUAACUCUCCUGCCUGAGCUCUGCCUACAGAGAGCAUUGGGACAUAUCCCUUCACCCAUCUUUCAGGUGAUGGGACUCUAUGUUCUUGCCUGGUCCCUGCUUACAAGGGAUAUUUUGACAUAUCACUGGGCCUAGCACCUAGCAGGUGUCUUUUCU
This 4026-nucleotide long non-coding RNA is filed under the name Homo sapiens (human). RNAcentral's name for it is "HSALNT0396687". The record is from RNAcentral. Lineage: Eukaryota; Metazoa; Chordata; Mammalia; Primates; Hominidae.